This 4019-nucleotide long non-coding RNA is filed under the name Homo sapiens (human). Its description in RNAcentral is "HSALNT0200392". The record is from RNAcentral. Lineage: Eukaryota; Metazoa; Chordata; Mammalia; Primates; Hominidae.
CCUUGAAUAAACUGCUUUGCAGCAGCCACCACGGCCCCUGGCUCUUUUUCUAAUUCCUUAUACUUGCCUUUAGGCUUGCUUGUUCCUUUAGGUCUUUACUGCAUCAUUCCAGAGAGACCUUCUGUGCCAUACGCUACAGUUCCACCCCCUCUUAUGCCGCUUAGCACUCACCAUUGCCCAACAUAGGAGCUGUUUUAUGUCUUCCUCUUGAUUCUCACUGUUUCCUGCUUUGGAGCAUAAGCUGGACAGAGAAUACCAUCGGAGCUCCUCUGGAACAUGUCCUUGUCUUCUCAGAGUGUGAAGUGUGUGUGUGACAGUGCUUUUCUGAGGACUCAGGUGACCUGGAGGCUGGAGAACAGCAUGGAGCAAGGAAAACAAAGACGAUGUGCUGGAGUGUAUGUUGCUUUCAUAAUUAUGUGAAAGAAAAUGUAGAGAAAUUUGAAAGGAGAACUGGUUAUCAGUAGUGCCAUCCUGCUCAAAUAUCUUCAAAUACACACCACCAUCCAUGUGUGGGUUGAUUAAGGAGCUGACGUUCAUUAGAUCUGCAGUCUCCUGACCUGAUGUGCAUCAGAAUCACUGGGAGAACAAACAAACAAAAAUGAAUCCAAAACAAGCAACGAACAGACAGAUUCUCAAGUCUUGCCAAGUCCAAAGAUUGAUUUGGUGGAGAAAUUGUACUUUGAAAGCUGCCCAGACCUGUGCAAGCAUCCUGCCUCAUUCCAUUUGGCUGAAGCUCCUGCUCCACUUCUUGCUGGGCUGUGACCAUUCAGGAUCCCCCACUGUCCACCAGAGUCAGCACCUAAAAGGAGAGAAAAUCUUUUUCUGUCUGGUGUUUUUCAAAAUUUUGAUGAUGGACUCACAUCAAGGAUGAAGAGCUUUGAUGUCAUUUGAACACCACCACCAUCACCACCACCAGCAUCAACAAACAAACAAGCAAACAAGCGUGAACUCAGGAGCCCUGUGGCCCAGCCUCCAGUCCAUUUCCUCACUGUGAUCUGGCUAAGUCACCUCCCCUCCACCUCAGUUCAGUCACCUACACAACAGGAAUGGUGGCUCCUGGCGUGAAAAGUUCUUAGGAGCAUUCAGCAUGAUGCUGUGUGGAGCACUUGGAAACUGCGUGUGCAUCACCUCAUAUUUCUGGCCACAGGUCAUUCAGACAUCUGCCCUUUGCCCUGGAGGAGAACCACUAGGGACUUGUGCCCAUAAGCACCAAUUCUGGCUUUUACCCUACCCAUCCUUUGCCAUCCCAAACUAUGCCAUCAACAAAUUCUAGAAAUCAAGUUAGAAAUGCUGUUCCCACGAGGGUCUCUGUGGUCUCUCAGAACAACAAUCAGCUGGCCCUGCUGGGCAGAUGUUGCCCAAUCCUAACCCACACUUAGCUAUCAACUUAAUCAUUCUCAACUAAAAACACCUACCUGAACACUUUUAGGGGUUAAGAAUAGUAUAAUCUCACUUAGCCAUUUGCAUUUUUUCUUCUUUUUACAAAAAGAAAUUUAUCUUUUUUUUUUUUUGAGACGGAGUCUUGCUCUGUUGCCCAGGUUGGAGUGCAGUGGCGCAAUCUUGGCUCACUGCAAGCUCCGCCUCCUGGGUUAGCGCCAUUCUCCUGCCUCAGCCUCCCGAGUAGCUGGGACUACAGGUGCCUGCCACCACGCCUGGCUAAUUUUUUUGUAUUUUUAGUAGAGACGGGGUUUCACCGUGUUAGUCAGGAUCGUCUUGAUCUCCUGACAUCGUGAUUCGCCCUCCUCAGCCUCCCAAAGUGCUGGGAUUACAGGCGUGAGCCACUGCGCUCUGCCAAGAAUAGUAUAAUCUCACUUAGCCAUUUGUAUUUUUUCUUCUUUUUACAAAAAGAAAUUUAUCUCAUUAUUAUGUUUAAUCAGUUUCUUGAGGUAUAACUUAAGUGUGCUAAAAUUUGCUCUUUUUAGUGUACAGGUCUAGGAUUUUUGAGAAACACAUAUUCAUAUGUGACCACCCCCAUGAUCAACAUAUGGAACAGUCAUUUGCCACCCAAAAUUACCUUGUGCCCUUUUGUUGUCAGACUCUUCUUUCUCCAGACCCUGGCAACCACUGAUGGAUUUUCUGUCCCUAUAGUUUUGCCUUUUCCAGAAUGUUCUGCAAAUGUAAUCAUUUAGUAUGUAGCCUUUUAAGUCUGAUUUCUUUCACUCUGCAUAAUGCAUUUGAGAUUCACCCACGUUGUUACCUGUUACAAUGGUUUGUUCCUUUUUAUUGCGGAGUAAUAUUCCCUUGCAUGGAUGUACCACAGUUUGGGUAACCAUUCAACAGUCAAAUGAGAUUGAAUUUGUUUCCAUUUUUUGGUGAUUAUAAAUACAGCUAUAAACAUUUGUGAAAGUGUUUUGUAUGUACAUACAUUUUUCUUAGACAUUUGGUUUUAAGAGAUGUAUUUAGGUUUAGUUCCAGAUGAACAAUGAGAGACUGAAAGACUUAAGGGACCCCUGAGAAGAGCAGAGGGAAUAUUCCCUGAGGCAGCCAUCAGUCAGACCUGGCCCUGUCAUUUAAAUGUGGGCUAGUGGUAGCAAGAUGCUGUUAUUAUUUUCACCAAGGACAUUUUUUGAGUAGCAAUUAAAAUGAAGUCUAUUUCUCUGAGCCCCUGGAGAAGAACAUAAGCACAUGAUGGUAACCAUCAAUUUAGUGGGCCUAACGUUAUCUAGGUGGUUAAUGUUUCCAUGGCUUCUGGCAAUUCCCAGUGUAAGUCACCUGUGUAUACUGGGUGGAUGCUUCUUUAAAUUAAAGAUAAGCUGUUCAGCUUAAUAACAGCUAAGGGAGAAUAUAGAGCCCGUGGGUGAACUGUUUACUAACAAGCUUCUUCAGGGUCAUUCAACUUGAAUGAACUCUCUUUUAGGCUAACUUGGUUUGUGGAGGGAAUGCAUGUUUCUUAGUUAAAAUAGUUACAUUGGAAUCCCAACUGUGCACAGGACUUCAAGGGUAAUUAUGAACCCCCACUGCAGAUUUCAGGCUUAGCACCAAUUCUCCUUGCUUUCUACUUGUAUCCAUCAAAAACAGAAGUUACGAUGGAGUUACAGCUAUACUUGUAAGGGUCUCAGUGAACCUCUCCCACUAUUCUGCCUUAUCACCUUUGGGUUCCUGUGUUCUCUACCCCCUCCCCACUGCAUGUUUUCAUUCAGCCAGGAAACAUUUACUGCCUGCCUGGUAUCAAGCCCUUGCAUGAGGGUGGGAGCUCAUAAAGAUGACUACACUAGAGAAUCAUUUGACCUUUCUCAUGUAGACCUCAACAUGAAUGAGUUUCAAUGCUGAUAGGGCAAUCAUUACCUUCAGACAAAUUUUCAGGAACAGCCAAGACUAGAGAAUGUAUGGCUAAAACACAGCACUAUGCAUUUAUAAUAGUCAUGGGUUCUCCUGUUUUAAUUGUACAUGGAGAAUAUUUCAGCUUUAUUUGUAUGGGCUGCUCUUAUGUAAAACAUUAUUUCAAUGAGGAAAUGUGUUUGGGGUUCUAAAUGACUAACUUACAAACACAACUUUGAAUAAAGUCCAUGAAUAAUUUGAGGAUUUAUGUCUAUCAAUGGCUGAUUUACCAGAUUGUUGGCUUUGGGUUUAUUGGUAUCCAUGUUGAGAGGCAUCAGAUCAUCCAAGGUUUAAGUUUCGUCCUGACCACUGACUAGCAUUGAGACCUUAAUGGGAUUAAUAACAAUGAUAAUGAUAGUGACAAGAGCUAGCUUUUCAUGAGCACAGUGGCUAAGAGAGUUAGCAUCAGUUCUAGCUGCUUUCAUUGACAUAGAUGUAAAUGGGGAGGGAAACCAUGACUAGACUCAAAUCUCUGCUCUAACGUCUGAUACCUGAAUAUCACUUUGCAAGCCACGUCAUCUCUCUAAGUUGUAGCUCUUUGUCUGAAAAAUGUGGAUAGUUAAUACAUUAUAAAUAAAUUAUUAUUACAUUAAUACACAGAAAUUCAUAAUGCUAUUGUGGGGAUUACAUGAGAUGAUGGAAGUAUUUAAUCUAGUGUCUUGUAUAUGGCAAAUAAAAAAUAAAUAUUCACUGCUGUUAAU